GAUGAACGCUGACAGAAUGCUUAACACAUGCAAGUCAACUUGAAUUUGGGUUUUUAACUUCGGUUUGGGUGGCGGACGGGUGAGUAACGCGUAAAGAACUUGCCUCACAGCUAGGGACAACAUUUGGAAACGAAUGCUAAUACCUAAUAUUAUGAUAAUAGGGCAUCCUAUAAUUAUGAAAGCUAUAAGCGCUGUGAGAGAGCGUUGCGUCCCAUUAGCUAGUUGGAGAGGUAACGGAUCACACAGGCGAUGAUGGGUAGCCGGCCUGAGAGGGUGAUCGGCCACAAGGUCACUGAGACACCGCCCUUACUCCUACGUCAGGCAGCAGUGAGGAAUAUUGGACAAUGGACCAAGAGUCUGAUCCAGCAAUUCUGUGUGCACGAUUAAGUUUUUCGGGAUGUAAAGUGCUUUCAGUUGGGAAGAAAGAAAUGACGGUACCAACAGAAGAAGUGACGGCUAAAUACGUG
This 467-nucleotide ribosomal RNA is filed under the name uncultured bacterium. Its description in RNAcentral is "partial 16S ribosomal RNA". It matches the Rfam family "Bacterial small subunit ribosomal RNA", at positions 28 to 507 of the family's 1533-position model. The record is from RNAcentral.